CUACGGGGUGCAGCAGUGGGGAAUAUUGGACAAUGGGGGAAACCCUGAUCCAGCAAUGCCGCGUGUGUGAAGAAGGCCUGCGGGUUGUAAAGCACUUUCGGUUGGGAGGACUGCUUCUAGCACUAAUAUUGUUGGAAGUUGACGUUACCUUCAGAAGAAGCACCGGCUAACUCCGUGCCAGCAGCCGCGGUAAUACGGAGGGUGCAAGCAGUUAAUCGGAAAUACUGGGCGUAAAGCGCGCGUAGGCGGCUAGAUCAGUCGGGUGUGAAAGCCCCGGGCUUAACCUGGGAACUGCAUCCGAUACUGGCUAGCUUGAGUACAGGAGAGGAGAGUGGAAUUCCACAUGUAGCGGUGAAAUGCGUAGAUAUGUGGAGGAACACCAAUGGCGAAGGCAGCUCUCUGGCCUGAUACUGACGCUGAGGUGCGAAAGCGUGGGGAGCAAACAGGAUUAGAUACCCCGGUAGUC
Molecule: ribosomal RNA, 466 nt
Filed under: uncultured bacterium
Lineage: Bacteria
Description: partial 16S ribosomal RNA
Rfam family: Bacterial small subunit ribosomal RNA
Source: RNAcentral